RNAcentral lists this ribosomal RNA (450 nucleotides) under uncultured bacterium. RNAcentral's name for it is "partial 16S ribosomal RNA". It matches the Rfam family "Bacterial small subunit ribosomal RNA", at positions 354 to 796 of the family's 1533-position model. The record is from RNAcentral.
GUGGGGAAUUUUGGACAAUAGGCGCAAGCCUGAUCCAGCAAUGCCGCGUGCAGGAAGAAGGCCUUCGGGUUGUAAACUGCUUUUGUACGGAACGAAACGGUCCGGGUUAAUACCCUGGGCUAAUGACGGUACCGUAAGAAUAAGCACCGGCUAACUACGUGCCAGCAGCCGCGGUAAUACGUAGGGUGCAAGCGUUAAUCGGAAUUACUGGGCGUAAAGCGUGCGCAGGCGGUUUUGUAAGACAGGCGUGAAAUCCCCGGGCUCAACCUGGGAAUUGCGCUUGUGACUGCAAGGCUGGAGUGCGGCAGAGGGGGAUGGAAUUCCGCGUGUAGCAGUGAAAUGCGUAGAUAUGCGGAGGAACACCGAUGGCGAAGGCAAUCCCCUGGGCCUGCACUGACGCUCAUGCACGAAAGCGUGGGGAGCAAACAGGAUUAGAAACCCUAGUAGUCC